Molecule: RNA transcript, 3594 nt
Organism: Phasianus colchicus (ring-necked pheasant)
Lineage: Eukaryota; Metazoa; Chordata; Aves; Galliformes; Phasianidae
Gene: NUDT13
Gene name: nudix hydrolase 13
Source: RefSeq, a predicted model, not a curated record
UCCCAGCCCUCAUUUAAGGGUUGGCAGUGGAAGGAAUGGUAUCUCUUGUUGGAGGUCCUUGUGGAAUUUGUGGUCUUCUGAAGGUAUGCUGAAAUACUGCCUGCUAUGAAGAGAAAUCACCUGGAGGAAUUGCUGUCAGCAGGCUGAUGUCCCUCCUUUCUUAUACAAAGGAUUUUAACAAUCUUGUUAUAUAGGACUGAAUAAGCAAAUGUAUGGGCUCUUCUCUGCACUUUCUGCUUUUCUGAAUAUCUUGCUGUUUUGUUCUGCGGCCUCUUUGAAAUUAAGUUGAGCAGAUGUUAGAGAUCAAGGUCAGCUGAGAAACUUCUGAUGCAGUAUCUGUCUAUGGAAAGAGCUGUUGGCAUUAACCCCCUGAAUGGGUCAGAAGAGAUACGGAUAAACUGAAGGCAAAUGAGGAGAGCAGAUUGCUCAUGGUGUGCUGAAUGCUUUGAUGUGGCAAGGUACUGCAGUUCUUCACAUCUUGGAUGCACUACAUGCAUCGUAUGGACACAUAUGUCCUGAGUGUUUCACCUCAUUCACCAAACAGCAGGAAGGUUACGCACAGUAGAAAACAUCUUCUUCCAGAAGACCUUGAAAAACUGUUGGAAUGAUGACGUCCUACAGAAGCUGUGCUGUGCUUGAGGAUAUCCUUGGAAUGAGAAACACAUCUAAGAUUCAAGUCCAAGUUCAAUGUGGUUGUUGAAGAGCAUCAAUGUUCAAGCUCCUUUUUUGCAUCAGGCUUCUUCAGUUCUGAAAACGUCAGAUUCCAGCUGCAAGCUUAAGAAGCAGCUGGAUAUAAGUGAUGUGCCCUAUAAUGUGUUCAAAGCUGCUUGUACUGUAACACUUCUGUUUCAAAUAAACUGCUAAUUUUUUUUUUGUUUCAAACUUUUUGAUGGUUUAUCUGGAAAUUGCCCAGUCUAUUUAUACUGAAGUUUCUGUCCUUGAGGAACUGUAAGGGCUGGGUUCUGUUUUGUCCUGUUUUUCUUCUCAUGGUGUAGUGUGCAAGCUUUUCAUUUUGUGUGUGUUAAGAUAUUGCUUGAGAAUGUUAUUACUGGACUACUUCUGGAGUUCAAACUACCUGUGGAAAUAACACAUGCUGUAAUGCUGCUGUUAUACUAUAAUUAUAAUAUAUGCUUUAGAUGUUGUAAUUUUUCUAUUUUUCAGUGUGUCUACCCUAAGGCCAGUGAAAUAAUGUAAUUGAGAACCGCUAGGAUAUCUGAAGCAGUCUAAAGGUUCUGGAUGAGCAGACCAGCUCCUGGAAGUAGGUUUCAUGGGAGACCUAUUAGACAAUAGGUUGAUGAGAAAGCUGCUGGCAGCAGCUAAUGUUUGGGAAACGGGCUGUAUAAUAUAUGUGACAGGGUUUAAAGAGCCCAAGGAUAGCAUUUUGAUUAUGAUAGGGGAGGAAGCUUCAUACCUCCAACUCCUCAGUAUUCCUGUGGGGAGUGUUUUUUGGUUUUUGAAGUGUUUGUCUUCUCUCAGGAAGAGAGGUAGAGCGGUUGGAUAUGUUUGUAGCAUGCCUGCUAUUAUGCAAAACUAUUUUUUUAAUGUAAAACUAUACAUUCUUUUGGAGCAGUUCUGAAGUUACCAUGUAUUAAGCAUUCUUAAUCAUAAUGAAUUGUUAGUUUGUAAUGCUUUGAAAACUAAGAAAAAUCACCUCUGGGACAUCACUACUACUGCUUCUACACAUACAUGAUGGUGCUAUGCUGAUGCAGCCUAUCUGACUAAAGUGAAAUAAUGCUUUCUUUGUAGUGUUUAUAGUGCGGGCCUUAAUCAUACUUUAUUUGUAAACCUAAUCCUAAAGUAAGGAACAAACAAGUUUGUAUUGGUUUGGUUGGCAUCUUCUUGAGCAACAGAUGAGUUUCUUGUAGAACCAGUAUUGCAAAUGAGAAACACUAUCCUGGAUGUUUUACAGCGUGGUCACUGUGACUGAGGAAUCUGUUGAAGACGUGGAAGUGGGAAUCUGUUGAAGACGUGGAAGUGGAUUGCUGCUGGUGGUGUACUUGCACGUAGGGCUGAUCUGUAACAGGAGCUCAGUUACUAAAACCUUGGUGAGAAAAUCUUGGUGAGAAUGCCAAUGGCUGUGGUAACUGAAGCAUAGUGUAAGAGUAUCAAAAUGAUCAAAACACUUUCAAAAACACUUUCAGUUUUGUUUUAAUAACCUAUUAAAUUUCACUAGCAGAUACUGUUGGGGGGGGAAGGAACUUCAAGGCAUGUUUUCAGAGGUUAAUGUUAUUGAAACUUGGGGAAAUAAUUUCCCUGCUCUUAAUCUUCUGUGCAGAAGCUCUUGCACGAGGGACAGUGGAUUGAGUUCCCCAAAGUUUUAAUGCCAGAGUUAAAUGAAAGCCCAGAGAUAAGGGUCUGUCACUGCUUCUGAAGUUGCACUUCUGAUCCAUUCUGUUUUCUAAUUAAUUGUGCUCUGAGAAUACGAGCUUGAAAGUACUGUAAUUUAAAAUUUUAGUUGAAAUAGAAAUAUCCACUAUUGCAGACAGUGUUUGAGACUAAUAGGCUUGCUUUUUUUUUCCUACCCACUAUGGUAAGUUUUUUCAGCAGAGACUUUUAAUUAGCUUUUAUAUUUUACUCCAUUGCUGCUGUUCUCUAUAGGGCAGCAGUAUAAACUGUACAGAACAGGUUAUUUCUAUCUGUGGUACUAGAUCUGCAGAAUUCAAUGCUAUGCUGUGUCAGUGUUGAUCUUAUUCUCCCUACCUCUUAGUAAAUACCUGAGCGGUUGAAUCCAAAUGUGGAGUUAAAUAGCUAAAACCUCUUGGGAAUUGAUCGUGCUGAAUGACCUGGCAAAAGAAAGUCCUGGGCUUGCUGCAUGAAAAAUAUCUGUUAAAAGAAUUUCAUCUUGUUUCAGUAAUGUCACCUUACGUGUGUUUCCAAAGUCCUUGUGAUAGCAUAUCUAGCGCUUGUGCAUUUAAGCAUGAAGGUUUAGAUUUCCUGUGAUGUCAUUGUUAAUGAUGAAUUUCCAGAGUUGUCAUGGUUUUUAUGUUUUGUUAUUGGUAUUCCACAUCAUGACAUGAUGUAGUGCACUGGGAGUUAAAGUUUUAAUGCUCCGCUUCUGUGGAUCGUCGUUAUUUCUGGUAUAGCUGCCUCUGAAGAGAAAGAGAACUAUGUAACCCAGAAGACUGUUUGCUGUUCUGUUUCCAUUCUUCGUUCAGAGGGAAUGACAAAACUGUUCACAGAUCACAAGAUGUCCUCUUUUUCCCUUUCUGUUUGUCUCUGCAGUGUAUGUGCUUCCUAGCUCUCGUCUUCAGCAUUUGAGUAAGACCUUUGGUUUUUGGACACAAUCUCUCUCAUUGUAUGUAUUGGUCUCAAUUCAAAUUGUAUUAUUAUGUUGUCAUGCAUUGUGAUAUCAUAUUUAGUAAACUAACUUUCCUCCUCAGCUUGUUGCUGCUGUUUCAUUUUUAGGUCUAUCUCCCUUUUCUUGCCACUCUUUCCCCUUUCCUGGGGCAUGGGUUUGUGGGUCCCGCUGCCCCAGUAGUCGUGGAACUGCCUGUAAACUGUUCAACAUGGGUACAAAAAAAAAAUGCUUUCAUGCACUAUGCUCUUGCAGAGAUAAACUCUGGAGCAAAUAUCAGCACUAAGCCCCAUGAAAAA